GAAUUCGCCCUUAGAGCCUUUUCAUGGCUCAGGACGAACGCUGGCGGCGCGCCUAACACAUGCAAGUCGAACGGAACUUGAGAGAGCUUGCUUUUUCAAGUUUAGUGGCGAACGGGUGAGUAACGCGUGAGUAACCUGCCCUGGAGUGGGGGACAACAGUUGGAAACGACUGCUAAUACCGCAUAAGCCCACAGUGCCGCAUGGCACAGCGGGAAAAGGAUUUAUUCGCUUCAGGAUGGACUCGCGUCCAAUUAGCUAGUUGGUGAGGUAACGGCACACCAAGGCGACGAUUGGUAGCCGGACUGAGAGGUCGAACGGCCACAUUGGGACUGAGACACGGCCCAGACUCCUACGGGAGGCAGCAGUGGGGGAUAUUGCACAAUGGGGGAAACCCUGAUGCAGCGACGCCGCGUGGAGGAAGAAGGUUUUCGGAUUGUAAACUCCUGUCGUUAGGGACGAUAAUGACGGUACCUAACAAGAAAGCACCGGCUAACUACGUGCCAGCAGCCGCGGUAAAACGUAGGGUGCAAGCGUUGUCCGGAAUUACUGGGUGUAAAGGGAGCGCAGGCGGACCGGCAAGUUGGAAGUGAAAUCUAUGGGCUCAACCCAUAAAUUGCUUUCAAAACUGCUGGCCUUGAGUAGUGCAGAGGUAGGUGGAAUUCCCGGUGUAGCGGUGGAAUGCGUAGAUAUCGGGAGGAACACCAGUGGCGAAGGCGACCUACUGGGCACCAACUGACGCUGAGGCUCGAAAGCAUGGGUAGCAAACAGGAUUAGAUACCCUGGUAGUCCAUGCCGUAAACGAUGA
This 805-nucleotide ribosomal RNA is filed under the name uncultured bacterium. RNAcentral describes it as "bacterial SSU rRNA". It matches the Rfam family "Bacterial small subunit ribosomal RNA", at positions 1 to 812 of the family's 1533-position model. The record is from RNAcentral.